GUUUGCAUUUGAGUUUGAAUUGUAAUUUUUCUUGCGAAUAUUUUCUAACUAGAACGAAGUUUGUCAGUUAGCUUUAGUUUGAUUGUUUCCAAUUCUGUUCUAUUCAUUGUUGUCCACGUACUAGUGGUAGUAUAAAUAUUUUCGUUCUGCUUAAAGUGUGAUGGCAGUACGGCAGAUCAUACAAGGAAUGCUGAGACAUGAAAUCACAUUCAUACCACUUGGGGAAUAUAUGGUCAUCCUAUGUUGAAAAUAAACUACAAGAUACUGAUUAUAUUAGUUAUAAUGGAUUUAUGCAAUAUGGCAGUAUAGCAGAUCUGUCAUGGCAUGCUGAGUAAUGAAUUGGCUUUCAGAACACUUGGGGAAAGUAUCCACACAGCAUGUUGAAAAUGGACGAGGAGAUACUGAUAAUAAUAAUGGAUAUAUGCAAUAUGGCAGCAGAGCAGAUUACACAGGGAAUGCUGAGAGAAGAAUUCACUUUCAUUCCACUUGGCGAAAAUAUCAACAUCCUAUGUAGAAAAUGAACUUCAAGAUACUGAAAUAAUAAUAAUACAAGAUUUGUGCAAUGGACGUGUAAUGGUUAUUGAAUAUGGCAGUACGGCAGAUCAUACAAGGAAUGCUGAGACAUGAAAUCACAUUCAUACCACUUGGGGAAUAUAUGGUCAUCCUAUGUUGAAAAUAAACUACAAGAUACUGAUUAUAUUAGUUAUAAUGGAUUUAUGCAAUAUGGCAGUAUAGCAGAUCUGUCAUGGCAUGCUGAGUAAUGAAUUGGCUUUCAGAACACUUGGGGAAAGUAUCCACACAGCAUGUUGAAAAUGGACGAGGAGAUACUGAUAAUAAUAAUGGAUAUAUGCAAUAUGGCAGCAGAGCAGAUUACACAGGGAAUGCUGAGAGAAGAAUUCACUUUCAUUCCACUUGGCGAAAAUAUCAACAUCCUAUGUAGAAAAUGAACUUCAAGAUACUGAAAUAAUAAUAAUACAAGAUUUGUGCAAUGGACGUGUAAUGGUUAUUGAAUAUGGCAGUACGGCAGAUCAUACAAGGAAUGCUGAGACAUGAAAUCACAUUCAUACCACUUGGAGAAUAUAUCGUCAUCCUAUGUUGAAAAUAAACUACAAGAUACUGAUUAUAUUAGUUAUAAUGGAUUUAUGCAAUCUACGGAUGGCAGUAUAGCAGAUCUGUCAUGGCAUGCUGAGUAAUGAAUUGGCUUUCAGAACACUUGGGGAAAGUAUCCACACAGCAUGUUGAAAAUGGACGAGGAGAUACUGAUAAUAAUAAUGGAUAUAUGCAAUAUGGCAGCAGAGCAGAUUACACAGGGAAUGCUGAGAGAAGAAUUCACUUUCAUUCCACUUGGCGAAAAUAUCAACAUCCUAUGUAGAAAAUGAACUUCAAGAUACUGAAAUAAUAAUAAUACAAGAUUUGUGCAAUGGACGUGUAAUGGUUAUUGAAUAUGGCAGUACGGCAGAUCAUACAAGGAAUGCUGAGACAUGAAAUCACAUUCAUACCACUUGGGGAAUAUAUGGUCAUCCUAUGUUGAAAAUAAACUACAAGAUACUGAUUAUAUUAGUUAUAAUGGAUUUAUGCAAUAUGGCAGUAUAGCAGAUCUGUCAUGGCAUGCUGAGUAAUGAAUUGGCUUUCAGAACACUUGGGGAAAGUAUCCACACAGCAUGUUGAAAAUGGACGAGGAGAUACUGAUAAUAAUAAUGGAUAUAUGCAAUAUGGCAGCAGAGCAGAUUACACAGGGAAUGCUGAGAGAAGAAUUCACUUUCAUUCCACUUGGCGAAAAUAUCAACAUCCUAUGUAGAAAAUGAACUUCAAGAUACUGAAAUAAUAAUAAUACAAGAUUUGUGCAAUGGACGUGUAAUGAUGGCAGUACGGCAGAUCAUACAAGGAAUGCUGAGACAUGAAAUCACAUUCAUACCACUUGGAGAAUAUAUCGUCAUCCUAUGUUGAAAAUAAACUACAAGAUACUGAUUAUAUUAGUUAUAAUGGAUUUAUGCAAUCUACGGAUGGCAGUAUAGCAGAUCUGUCAUGGCAUGCUGAGUAAUGAAUUGGCUUUCAGAACACUUGGGGAAAGUAUCCACACAGCAUGUUGAAAAUGGACGAGGAGAUACUGAUAAUAAUAAUGGAUAUAUGCAAUAUGGCAGCAGAGCAGAUUACACAGGGAAUGCUGAGAGAAGAAUUCACUUUCAUUCCACUUGGCGAAAAUAUCAACAUCCUAUGUAGAAAAUGAACUUCAAGAUACUGAAAUAAUAAUAAUACAAGAUUUGUGCAAUGGACGUGUAAUGGUUAUUGAAUGUAAUUUAUAGUAAAUGAAUAGUUGUGAAACAAUUGAAAUUUGUUAAAAAUCUUAAUAAAAUAUUGGUAAACACCUUCAGCUUGGAAUUUUCGUUCUUAAAAUUUGCCAUAGCUAUAAAAAUGGUUUUAUUAUUACUUCACGUCUACAUGAUCAUUUUGAAGAAAAUCACCAAUUUCAUAUUUUACGGUAUUCAUAAAACAGUCAAUAUUAUGUUAGUGUCAUGAAACUCUGUCAAUUAGAUUAAGAAUAUGAUUCUAAUUUACCAUUGUUAACUUUCAUUUAUUUCAUUAACCCUGAUAUUUUAAAAACCCUAUAAAACAUGAUUUUAUAUGAUAAUUUUGACGAAUAUUGUAAAUUCCAAUUUUUUACUGCAUAUAAAACACUCAGUUAUCACAGGUUAGUGUGUUGAAACCUUGUCGUUUAGAUUAAGAAGAAAAUGGUUCCAUUAUACCAUUAUUAACUUUCUUAUGUUUCAUUUAACACGAUGUUUUAAAAACACUGAAAAAUAUGUUUUCGUAUGGUAACUUUGACUGAAAUUACAAAUUUAUAUUUUUUCCAUAUUAAAAUGCAGCAUUUCUAAGUUAUUCAAACAGCGCAUUCCUUAGUUGAAUUUAUUUUACAUUCAAAUUCAACAAAACAUCGGAGUAUUUUUCUACUAUCUUUUGUCGCUUAUCAUGAUUAUUAUUUCUUAUCAUCUGUUAUAAGUUUAUCUUUCGUAUUAUUAUCUUCUUUCAGUUUUACUUUCGUAUUUGCAUUUGAGUUUGAAUUGUAAUUUUUCUUGCGAAUAUUUUCUAACUAGAACGAAGUUUGUCAGUUAGCUUUAGUUUGAUUGUUUCCAAUUCUGUUCUAUUCAUUGUUGUCCACGUACUAGUGGUAGUAUAAAUAUUUUCGUUCUCCUUAAAGUGUGAUGGCAGUACGGCAGAUCAUACAAGGAAUGCUGAGACAUGAAAUCACAUUCAUACCACUUGGAG
Molecule: long non-coding RNA, 3264 nt
Filed under: Rhopalosiphum maidis (corn leaf aphid)
Lineage: Eukaryota; Metazoa; Arthropoda; Insecta; Hemiptera; Aphididae
Description: uncharacterized LOC113558884, transcript variant X8
Source: RNAcentral